Oncorhynchus tshawytscha (Chinook salmon) is the source of this 742-nucleotide long non-coding RNA. NCBI's taxonomy places the organism in Eukaryota, Metazoa, Chordata, Actinopteri, Salmoniformes, Salmonidae. The record is from Ensembl.
GACCCUGACCAUGACCCCACUCCCUGCAGGUGUGUCAGGGGAGUUGGGACAUGGUGACCCUAACCCCAAACCCUGCGGGUGUCUCAGGAUAUGGUGACCCUGACCGUGACCCCACUUCCUGCAGGUGUCUCAGGGGAGUUGGGAUAUGGUGACCCUGACCCCACUCCCUGCGGGUGUCUCAGGAUAUGGUGACCCUGACCCCACUUCCUGGGGGUGUCUCAGGGGGAGUUGGGAUAUGGUGACCCUGACCGUGACCCCACUCCCUGCGGGUGUCUCAGGGGGAGUUGGGAUAUGGUGACCCUGACCCCACUUCCUGCGGGUGUCUCAGGAUAUGGUGACCCUGACCCCAAACCCUGCGGGUGUCUCAGGAUAUGGUGACCUUGACCCCAAACCCUGCGGGUGUCUCAGGGGGAGUUGGGAUAUGGUGACCCUGAACGUGACCCCAAACCCUGCGGGUGUCUCAGGAUAUGGUGACUCUGACCGUGACCCCACUUCCUGCGGGUGUCUCAGGGGGAGUUGGGAUAUGGUGACCCUGACCGUGACCCCAAACCCUGCGGGUGUCUCAGGAUAUGGUGACCCUGACCGUGACCCCAAACCCUGCGGGUGUCUCAGGAUAUGGUGACCCUGACCGUGACCCCAAACCCUGCGGGUGUCUCAGGAUAUGGUGACCCUGACCGUGACCCCAAACCCUGCGGGUGUCUCAGGAUAUGGUGACCCUGACCGUGACCCCACUCCCUGCGGG